AGAUUGAACGCUGGCGGCAGGCCUAACACAUGCAAGUCGAGCGGCAGCACGGGUACUUGUACCUGGUGGCGAGCGGCGGACGGGUGAGUAAUGCCUAGGAAUCUGCCUGGUAGUGGGGGAUAACGCUCGGAAACGGACGCUAAUACCGCAUACGUCCUACGGGAGAAAGCAGGGGACCUUCGGGCCUUGCGCUAUCAGAUGAGCCUAGGUCGGAUUAGCUAGUUGGUGAGGUAAUGGCUCACCAAGGCGACGAUCCGUAACUGGUCUGAGAGGAUGAUCAGUCACACUGGAACUGAGACACGGUCCAGACUCCUACGGGAGCAGCAGUGGGAAUAUUGGACAAUGGGCGAAAGCCUGAUCCAGCCAUGCCGCGUGUGUGAAGAAGGUCUUCGGAUUGUAAAGCACUUCAAGUUGGAGGAAGGCAGUUACCUAAUACGUAUCUGUUUGACGUUACGACAGAAUAAGCACGGCUAACUCUGUG
This 481-nucleotide ribosomal RNA is filed under the name uncultured soil bacterium. Its description in RNAcentral is "bacterial SSU rRNA". It matches the Rfam family "Bacterial small subunit ribosomal RNA", at positions 26 to 507 of the family's 1533-position model. The record is from RNAcentral.